Echria macrotheca is the source of this 94-nucleotide non-coding RNA. Lineage: Eukaryota; Fungi; Ascomycota; Sordariomycetes; Sordariales; Schizotheciaceae. The record is from the annotation of a GenBank genome assembly.
AGCCAGAUAGCGCAGUGGAAUGGUCGGUCAGUACCUACUGCUUCUCAUGCAGUACGUCUGACCAGGGCCUGGGUUCAACUCCCGGGUCAGGCUG